Adelges cooleyi (spruce gall adelgid) is the source of this 678-nucleotide long non-coding RNA. RefSeq lists it as uncharacterized. The record is from RefSeq and is a predicted model, not a curated record. NCBI's taxonomy places the organism in Eukaryota, Metazoa, Arthropoda, Insecta, Hemiptera, Adelgidae. The transcript is spliced from 2 exons.
UUAAAUGCGUGGGCAUUUGUCCGUACUCUUGGAGAGAUAAACCGACUGAUUGCACGUCCUAUACGGUUACUGAGGUCAACUUGAUUCUAUGUGUAUAUUAAAAUAUAUACAUGACUCGGGAGAAACCUACACAAUAUAAAUAGGCGUAGGUACGGCCGGUAAGUCAUUCGAAGCAAAUACAAGUAUUAAUAUUGUAAAGUCGUUUCUUACACCGUUCCGUUGCCAUGAAUUCUAAGUACGUGGUUUUGGUAUGUUUCUUGGUUUUGGCGUUCGCUUUCAACUGCGUGAACGCUUCUUGCAACCCGGAUGAUUGUUGGGGUCUAUGCCGUGGCCAGUACGGUGGGGCGUUCGCAGAAACUCGAGGAGUAUGCGAAUCUUCGAACAAUGACUAUUGUCGGUGUUAUGGUAUACCCAAGCUUCUAGCAACUGGCUCACCUAUGGGUUCCGAGAUGUCAAUCAAUUGAAAAAUGCUCAAGACAUCGUAUUAAACAUCGUCGUCAGUUCAACGAGAAAACUUCAAAAAUAAUGUCAACAUUUCAAAACAUUGCAAAGUAGUAACACUUUUUGUAAUACUAUUUAUGUUAGCUUUUAUGUGUUAUACAUUAAAGGCAACUAAAUAUUAUUAUGUGUAGAUAAUAAAUAAUGAUUUUUACAAUAAAUUUGAAAUUUUCCUGAAAA